Molecule: unclassified non-coding RNA, 353 nt
Filed under: soil metagenome
Description: partial contains 5.8S ribosomal RNA, internal transcribed spacer 2, and large subunit ribosomal RNA
Rfam family: 5.8S ribosomal RNA (bases 2-119)
Source: RNAcentral
GUGAAGAACGUAGCGAAAUGCGAUAAGUAAUGUGAAUUGCAGAAUUCAGUGAAUCAUCGAAUCUUUGAACGCACAUUGCGCCCGCCAGUAUUCUGGCGGGCAUGCCUGUUCGAGCGUCAUUUCAACCCUCAGGCCCCCAGUGCCUGGCGUUGGGGAUCGGCGCGGCGCCCUCCGGGGCGCUGCCGGCCCCGAAAUUCAGUGGCGGUCUCGCUGUAGCCCUCCUCCGCGUAGUAGCACAACCUCGCGGCCUGGAGCUCGGCGGUGGCCAUGCCGUAAAACACCCCACUUCUGAAAGUUGACCUCGGAUCAGGUAGGAAUACCCGCUGAACUUAAGCAUAUCAAUAAGCGGAGGA